Stegodyphus dumicola is the source of this 1158-nucleotide long non-coding RNA. The record is from RefSeq and is a predicted model, not a curated record. Lineage: Eukaryota; Metazoa; Arthropoda; Arachnida; Araneae; Eresidae.
ACGACCGCUAGAGGGCAGUAGUCGUAUCCAUAGCGCUUUCUGAUUGGUUCUCAUGGAUCCUGACCAAGGCCUAUAUAGAGAGACGCUGGACCCUAUCAUAUCAUUUCCGCCUGUGUUGCAUGUUUUGUUCCUGCUUUCGCUCUUCCUGUUUGAAUCAAGACGUGUUAUUCGAGAUGGAGCAUACAUCUGAAGCUAUGUUUUUAAAUCAUGAGGUUGCUCAACCACAAGGCAGCAUGGAUCCUGAAUAUGUUUUUGAACAUGAAGACGUGUGGAUUUUGGUGAUCUUACAUCAUCACAGUUGGAUUCGCCUUUCGCUGAUACCCCAAAUUUAACUUGCUCGGAGUGUAAUAAAACUUUUGCACACCAGAGAAGCUUGACAAGACAUAUUGAAGUGCAGCAUUCAAUAUCAAGACACAUUUGCGCCAUAUGCAAAAAGGAGUUUUCCCGAAAGGAUAGUUUAAUGAGGCAUAUGAAAACGCAUUCAGAACCCCAGACAUCCAUGCCAUCUCGCUUAGUGAAACGAGCAGCUUCCCCCGCCACCCUGCCUGCCCCUUAACGACCACGGCAAGAACGCCCACCCUGCCUUGGUACGUUUGCUACAGAAAUCAUUUAUCCCAGUGAAGACACCAAAACAGAUUUGCAAGUAUUUUUAGAGUCUUCAAAAACUGAUAUCGCUAGCAAGAUUCGAGAAGCUGCCACACAGCAUCAAGGUAUCAAAUGGUACUUGAAUGCUUCUGUGAAGAUGGUCAGAAAAGUGUCAGAGACCGAGGAGGAGACAUGCAUCCCUUACUUUCGAUCCAUGCUACAAUCAGGUUGCGGAUUUAGUAUGACAUCAAAGCAGCGGGGAGUUCUAUGUCAAUCGAUAAACGUGUACAUGAAACCGGAUUACUACACAAAAAGGAUGAGACAUGUGUCUGACGUAAGAAUAGCAAGAUAAUACGAAGUGAUAAUGCGUGAUGACGUCACAAACAGGAUGCAGCACGUCCGGGGUUAAGCCGCGUGGUUGAUGACGUAUCAACCUACACGGGCUCCUCCGUAAAUUUCCUCUCCCCCCGUCCGUCGUCUGUGAGCGCCACAGCGCCACAUGGCUCCAAACCCCCAUUACGUCAUCAACCACGCGGCUUAACCCCGGACGUGCUGCAUCCUGUUUGUGACGUA